GCAGUAGCCGCGGGAAUACGGAGGAUCCGAGCGUUAUCCGGAUUUAUUGGGUUUAAAGGGUGCGUAGGCGGCUUUUUAAGUCAGGGGUGAAAGACGGUAGCUUAACUAUCGCAGUGCCCUUGAUACUGAAGAGCUUGAAUGUACUUGAGGUAGGCGGAAUGUGACAAGUAGCGGUGAAAUGCAUAGAUAUGUCACAGAACACCAAUUGCGAAGGCAGCUUACUAAAGUAUGAUUGACGCUGGGGCACGAAAGCGUGGGAGCAAACAGGAUUAGAUACCCCUGUAGUCCCUGUCUCUUAUACA
This 302-nucleotide ribosomal RNA is filed under the name uncultured bacterium. RNAcentral's name for it is "partial 16S ribosomal RNA". It matches the Rfam family "Bacterial small subunit ribosomal RNA", at positions 508 to 808 of the family's 1533-position model. The record is from RNAcentral.